CCUACGGGUGGCAGCAGUGAGGAAUAUUGGUCAAUGGACGAGACUCUGAACCAGCCAAGUAGCGUGCAGGAUGACUGCCCUAUGGGUUGUAAACUUCUUUUAUGUGGGGAUAAAAUGAUUCACGUGUGGGUUUUUGUAUGUACCAUAUGAAUAAGGAUCGGCUAAUUCCGUGCCAGCAGCCGCGGUAAUACGGAGGAUCCGGGCGUUAUCCGGAUUUAUUGGGUUUAAAGGGAGCGUAGAUGGGUUGUUAAGUCAGUUGUGAAAGUGUGCGGCUCAACCGUAAAAUUGCAAUGGAGACUGGGAGCCUUGAGUACAGUUGAGGUAGGCGGAAUUCGUGGUGUAGCGGUGAAAUGCUUAGAUAUCACGAAGAACUCCGAUUGCGAAGGCAGCGUA
Molecule: ribosomal RNA, 393 nt
Filed under: uncultured bacterium
Lineage: Bacteria
Description: partial 16S ribosomal RNA
Rfam family: Bacterial small subunit ribosomal RNA
Source: RNAcentral